GACGUAGGGCGCGAGCGUUGUCCGGAAUUAUUGGGCGUAAAGAGCUCGUAGGCGGUUUGUCGCGUCUGCUGUGAAAACCCGAGGCUCAACCUCGGGCCUGCAGUGGGUACGGGGCAGACUAGAGUGCGGUAGGGGAGAUUGGAAUUCCUGGUGUAGCGGUGGAAUGCGCAGAUAUCAGGAGGAACACCAAUGGCGAAGGCAGAUCUCUGGGCCGUAACUGACGCUGAGGAGCGAAAGCAUGGGGAGCGAACAGG
This 254-nucleotide ribosomal RNA is filed under the name uncultured bacterium. Its description in RNAcentral is "partial 16S ribosomal RNA". It matches the Rfam family "Bacterial small subunit ribosomal RNA", at positions 524 to 776 of the family's 1533-position model. The record is from RNAcentral.